GAUGAAGAACGUAGCGAAAUGCGAUAAGUAAUGUGAAUUGCAGAAUUCAGUGAAUCAUCGAAUCUUUGAACGCACAUUGCGCCCGCCAGUAUUCUGGCGGGCAUGCCUGUUCGAGCGUCAUUUCAACCAUCAAGCCCAGCUUGCGUUGGGGUCCUGCGGCUGCCCGCAGGCCCUGAAAACCAGUGGCGGGCUCGCUAGUCACACCGAGCGCAGUAAUACAUCUCGCUUUGGGCGUGCGGCGGGUUCUUGCCGUUAAACACCCCCUUUUUACCAAGGUUGACCUCGGAUCAGGUAGGAAUACCCGCUGAACUUAAGCAUAUCAAUAAGCGGAGGA
RNAcentral lists this unclassified non-coding RNA (334 nucleotides) under soil metagenome. Its description in RNAcentral is "partial contains 5.8S ribosomal RNA, internal transcribed spacer 2, and large subunit ribosomal RNA". The stretch from base 1 to 120 matches the Rfam family "5.8S ribosomal RNA", at positions 35 to 154 of the family's 154-position model. The record is from RNAcentral.